AUUGAACGCUGGCGGCAGGCCUAACACAUGCAAGUCGAGCGGAUGAAGGGAGCUUGCUCCUGGAUUCAGCGGCGGACGGGUGAGUAAUGCCUAGGAAUCUGCCUGGUAGUGGGGGAUAACGUCCGGAAACGGGCGCUAAUACCGCAUACGCCCUGAGGGAGAAAGUGGGGGAUCUUCGGACCUCACGCUAUCAGAUGAGCCUAGGUCGGAUUAGCUAGUUGGUGGGGUAAAGGCCUACCAAGGCGACGAUCCGUAACUGGUCUGAGAGGAUGAUCAGUCACACUGGAACUAAGACACGGUCCAGACUCCUACGGGAGGCAGCAGUGGGGAAUAUUGGACAAUGGGCGAAAGCCUGAUCCAGCCAUGCCGCGUGUGUGAAGAAGGUCUUCGGAUUGUAAAGCACUUUAAGUUGGGAGGAAGGGCAGUAAGUUAAUACCUUGCUGUUUUGACGUUACCAACAGAAUAAGCACCGGCUAACUUCGUG
RNAcentral lists this ribosomal RNA (484 nucleotides) under uncultured bacterium. RNAcentral describes it as "partial 16S ribosomal RNA". It matches the Rfam family "Bacterial small subunit ribosomal RNA", at positions 30 to 507 of the family's 1533-position model. The record is from RNAcentral.